GACGAACGCUGGCGGCGUGCUUAACACAUGCAAGUCGAACGGAAAGGCCCUGCAUUUUUGGUGGGCUCGAAUGGCGAACGGAUGAGUGACACGUGAGUAACCUGCCCUUGACUUUCUGCUAACUACAAGAAACUAGGGCUAAUAAAGGAUAGGUGAUCCUGCUGCAAAGUGAGGGGUGGAAAGUUGCGGAGGUCGGGGAUGGAGGCGCGGGUUAUCAGCCUGUUGGUGGGUUAGUGGUUUACUAAGGCACUGGAGGGUAGGCGGCCGGACAGGGUGAGAGGCCACAUAGAGACUGAGAUACGGCCCAGACUCCUACGUGAGGCAGCAAUGGGGGAUAGUGCAUGAUGGGCGGGAGCCUGAUGCAGCAACGCCGCGUGCGUGAUGAAGGCCGUCGGUUUGUAAACCACGUUCGCCUGUGGCGAAGGGUGAGUGACGGUAAUGGGUGAAGAAGCCCCGGCUAACUACGUG
This 468-nucleotide ribosomal RNA is filed under the name uncultured bacterium. RNAcentral describes it as "partial 16S ribosomal RNA". It matches the Rfam family "Bacterial small subunit ribosomal RNA", at positions 28 to 507 of the family's 1533-position model. The record is from RNAcentral.